RNAcentral lists this small nuclear RNA (101 nucleotides) under Lynx canadensis (Canada lynx). The record is from RNAcentral. Lineage: Eukaryota; Metazoa; Chordata; Mammalia; Carnivora; Felidae.
AUAUACGACAGCACAUAUACUACAUUGGAACAACACGGAGAAGAUUCGCGCGGCCCCUGCACAAGGGUGACACACAAAUUCGUGAAGCUUCCAUGUUUUUA